This 2923-nucleotide ribosomal RNA is filed under the name Salmonella enterica. RNAcentral's name for it is "23S ribosomal RNA". It matches the Rfam family "Bacterial large subunit ribosomal RNA". Lineage: Bacteria; Pseudomonadati; Pseudomonadota; Gammaproteobacteria; Enterobacterales; Enterobacteriaceae. The record is from RNAcentral.
GGGUUGUGAGGUUAAGCGACUAAGCGUACACGGUGGAUGCCCUGGCAGUCAGAGGCGAUGAAGGGCGUACUAAUCUGCGAUAAGCGCCGGUAAGGUGAUAUGAACCGUUAUAACCGGCGAUACCCGAAUGGGGAAACCCAGUGUGAUUCGUCACACUAUCAUUAACUGAAUCCAUAGGUUAAUGAGGCGAACCGGGGGAACUGAAACAUCUAAGUACCCCGAGGAAAAGAAAUCAACCGAGAUUCCCCCAGUAGCGGCGAGCGAACGGGGAGGAGCCCAGAGCCUGAAUCAGCAUGUGUGUUAGUGGAAGCGUCUGGAAAGGCGCGCGAUACAGGGUGACAGCCCCGUACACAAAAGCGCAUGUGCUGUGAGCUCGAUGAGUAGGGCGGGACACGUGGUAUCCUGUCUGAAUAUGGGGGGACCAUCCUCCAAGGCUAAAUACUCCUGACUGACCGAUAGUGAACCAGUACCGUGAGGGAAAGGCGAAAAGAACCCCGGCGAGGGGAGUGAAAAAGAACCUGAAACCGUGUACGUACAAGCAGUGGGAGCACAGGUUUACCUGUGUGACUGCGUACCUUUGUAUAAUGGGUCAGCGACUUAUAUUCUGUAGCAAGGUUAACCGAAUAGGGGAGCCGGAGGGAAACCGAGUCUUAAUUGGGCGUUAAGUUGCAGGGUAUAGACCCGAAAACCGGGUGAUCUAGCCAUGGGCAGGUUGAAGGUUGGGUAACACUAACUGGAGGACCGAACCGACUAAUGUUGAAAAAUUAGCGGAUGACCUGUGGCUGGGGGUGAAAGGCCAAUCAAACCGGGAGAUAGCUGGUUCUCCCCGAAAGCUAUUUAGGUAGCGCCUCGUGAAUUCAUCUCCGGGGUAGAGCACUGUUUCGGCUAGGGGCCAUCCCGGCUUACCAACCCGAUGCAAACUGCGAAUACCGGAGAAUGUUAUCACGGGAGACACACGGCGGGUGCUAACGUCCGUCGUGAAGAGGGAAACAACCCAGACCGCCAGCUAAGGUCCCAAAGUCAUGGUUAAGUGGGAAACGAUGUGGGAAGGCCCAGACAGCCAGGAUGUUGGCUUAGAAGCAGCCAUCAUUUAAAGAAAGCGUAAUAGCUCACUGGUCGAGUCGGCCUGCGCGGAAGAUGUAACGGGGCUAAACCAUGCACCGAAGCUGCGGCAGCGACACUGUGUGUUGUUGGGUAGGGGAGCGUUCUGUAAGCCUGCGAAGGUGGCCUGUGAGGGUUGCUGGAGGUAUCAGAAGUGCGAAUGCUGACAUAAGUAACGAUAAAGCGGGUGAAAAGCCCGCUCGCCGGAAGACCAAGGGUUCCUGUCCAACGUUAAUCGGGGCAGGGUGAGUCGACCCCUAAGGCGAGGCCGAAAGGCGUAGUCGAUGGGAAACGGGUUAAUAUUCCCGUACUUGGUGUUACUGCGAAGGGGGGACGGAGAAGGCUAUGUUGGCCGGGCGACGGUUGUCCCGGUUUAAGCGUGUAGGUGUGUGUUCCAGGUAAAUCCGGUUCACUUUAACACUGAGGCGUGACGACGAGGCACUACGGUGCUGAAGCAACAAAUGCCCUGCUUCCAGGAAAAGCCUCUAAGCAUCAGGUAACAUCAAAUCGUACCCCAAACCGACACAGGUGGUCAGGUAGAGAAUACCAAGGCGCUUGAGAGAACUCGGGUGAAGGAACUAGGCAAAAUGGUGCCGUAACUUCGGGAGAAGGCACGCUGACACGUAGGUGAAGUGAUUUACUCAUGGAGCUGAAGUCAGUCGAAGAUACCAGCUGGCUGCAACUGUUUAUUAAAAACACAGCACUGUGCAAACACGAAAGUGGACGUAUACGGUGUGACGCCUGCCCGGUGCCGGAAGGUUAAUUGAUGGGGUCAGCGCAAGCGAAGCUCCUGAUCGAAGCCCCGGUAAACGGCGGCCGUAACUAUAACGGUCCUAAGGUAGCGAAAUUCCUUGUCGGGUAAGUUCCGACCUGCACGAAUGGCGUAAUGAUGGCGGGCUGUCUCCACCCGAGACUCAGUGAAAUUGAACUCGCUGUGAAGAUGCAGUGUACCCGCGGCAAGACGGAAAGACCCCGUGAACCUUUACUAUAGCUUGACACUGAACAUUGAGCCUUGAUGUGUAGGAUAGGUGGGAGGCUUUGAAGUGUGGACGCCAGUCUGCAUGGAGCCGACCUUGAAAUACCACCCUUUAAUGUUUGAUGUUCUAACGUGGACCCGUUACCCGGGUUGCGGACAGUGUCUGGUGGGUAGUUUGACUGGGGCGGUCUCCUCCUAAAGAGUAACGGAGGAGCACGAAGGUUGGCUAAUCCUGGUCGGACAUCAGGAGGUUAGUGCAAUGGCAUAAGCCAGCUUGACUGCGAGCGUGACGGCGCGAGCAGGUGCGAAAGCAGGUCAUAGUGAUCCGGUGGUUCUGAAUGGAAGGGCCAUCGCUCAACGGAUAAAAGGUACUCCGGGGAUAACAGGCUGAUACCGCCCAAGAGUUCAUAUCGACGGCGGUGUUUGGCACCUCGAUGUCGGCUCAUCACAUCCUGGGGCUGAAGUAGGUCCCAAGGGUAUGGCUGUUCGCCAUUUAAAGUGGUACGCGAGCUGGGUUUAGAACGUCGUGAGACAGUUCGGUCCCUAUCUGCCGUGGGCUGGAGAACUGAGGGGGGCUGCUCCUAGUACGAGAGGACCGGAGUGGACGCAUCACUGGUGUUCGGGUUGUCAUGCCAAUGGCACUGCCCGGUAGCUAAAUGCGGAAGAGAUAAGUGCUGAAAGCAUCUAAGCACGAAACUUGCCCCGAGAUGAGUUCUCCCUGAGACUUAAAGUCUCCUGAAGGAACGUUGAAGACGACGACGUUGAUAGGCCGGGUGUGUAAGCGCAGCGAUGCGUUGAGCUAACCGGUACUAAUGAACCGUGAGGCUUAACCUUACAACGCCGAAG